GUUUGGUCAUUUAACAUAAUCCCAAACUUCUUGAAGGCUUUGCUAAUUUUUUUUUUAUACUUCUUUCUUUGUCUUUGGUGGAUUGGGUUAUUUAAAAAAAAAAACUUGCCUUUAAGCUCUGAAGUUCUUUCUUCUGCUUGUUGGAUUCUAUUGUUGAUACUUUCCAGUGCAUUUUGCAUUUCUCUAAGUUCAUACUUUAUUUUCAAAAGUUGUGACUUUUUCUUAUUUAUGCUAUUUCACUGAAGAUUUUUUCUUUCAUAUCUUGUAUCUUUUUUGAUUUCAUUGAGUUAGACUUCACAUUUCUUUGGUGCCCCCUUGGUUUGCUUAAUAAUUGACUUCCUGAAUUCUUUUUCUGGCAGUUUGUGAUUUCUCCUUGGUUUGGAUCCAUUGCUGGUGAGCCAGUGUUGUCUUUUGGGGGUGUUAAAAUAUCUCGUUUGGUCAUAAUAUCAGAAUUGCUUCUCUGGUUCCUUCUCAUUCUAGGAGACUAUGUCAGAAGGAAGAUCUGGGGCUCAAGGGCUGCUGUUCUGUUCAGAUUCUUUCGUCCCAUGGGGUACUCCUUUGAUGUAGUGCUCUUCCCCUUUUUCUAGGGAUGUGGCUUCCUGAUAGCUGAACUGUAGUGAUUGUUAUUUCUCUUCUGCAUCUAGCCACCUCGCAGAGCUACUGGGCUCAGGCUGCUACUGGAGGAGUGUCUGCACAGAGUCCUGUGAUGUGAACCAUCUUCAGGUCUCUCAGCUGUGGAUACCAGCAUCUGCUCUGACUCUGUGCAGAUGCACCAGGGAUUCACUGAUAAUGAUAUUAUGUGACAUCAUUUCUGCUACUAUGCAGGUAAGAUUCUUGUGUGUUAAAAAUGUAUUAUAAACACAUAAAUUACAAU
This is a long non-coding RNA of Papio anubis (olive baboon), 874 nucleotides long. The record is from Ensembl. NCBI's taxonomy places the organism in Eukaryota, Metazoa, Chordata, Mammalia, Primates, Cercopithecidae.